UAACCUGCCCAAGAGAUCGGGAUAACACCUGGAAACAGAUGCUAAUACCGGAUAACAACAGAUGAUGCCUAUCAACUGUUUAAAAGAUGGUUAUGCUAUCACUCUUGGAUGGACCUGCGGUGCAUUAGCUAGUUGGUAGGGUAACGGCCUACCAAGGCGAUGAUGCAUAGCCGAGUUGAGAGACUGAUCGGCCACAUUUGGGACUGAGACACGGCCCAAACUCCUACGGGAGGCAGCAGCG
This 241-nucleotide ribosomal RNA is filed under the name uncultured Lactobacillus sp. RNAcentral's name for it is "partial 16S ribosomal RNA". It matches the Rfam family "Bacterial small subunit ribosomal RNA", at positions 122 to 356 of the family's 1533-position model. Lineage: Bacteria; Bacillati; Bacillota; Bacilli; Lactobacillales; Lactobacillaceae. The record is from RNAcentral.